This 407-nucleotide RNase P RNA is filed under the name Natronomonas salsuginis. Its description in RNAcentral is "Archaeal RNase P". It matches the Rfam family "Archaeal RNase P". From Rfam's summary of the family: Ribonuclease P (RNase P) is a ubiquitous endoribonuclease, found in archaea, bacteria and eukarya as well as chloroplasts and mitochondria. The record is from Rfam by way of RNAcentral. Lineage: Archaea; Methanobacteriati; Methanobacteriota; Halobacteria; Halobacteriales; Natronomonadaceae.
GGCAGAGGAAGCCCGGUCCCCGUGGGUCCGGCGGCGUCGCCGCCCGACCUAUGAGGAAAGUCCCCCCACCCUCCGGGCAGGUGACCGGGCGCAAGCCCGGGGCGGGAGACCGCCGGCACUGGAACAGAAACGGGACCACCCGCUCCGACCGAUGAGGCGCGUCGGCCGUCGACACGGCCGACGGCGGUCGCGGGUAUCGCUCGCGACCGCGCGAACCGACCCGAGAGGGAAGAGAGUUAACCCGCCGAGGGACGCGCGAGCGGCUUCGGCCGCGAGCCGACGAGCGGGAACGGAUGGAACGGCGAAUCCUCACCGGUGCAAGCCCGCCGCAACUGGUAGCCCGGAGACGCGGCGGGCGCUCAGCCGAAUGCCGGGUCGAAACAGAAGGGGGCUUACUCUCCUCAGCC